RNAcentral lists this ribosomal RNA (439 nucleotides) under uncultured bacterium. RNAcentral describes it as "partial 16S ribosomal RNA". It matches the Rfam family "Bacterial small subunit ribosomal RNA", at positions 338 to 795 of the family's 1533-position model. The record is from RNAcentral.
CCUAUGGUUGCUGCAGUGGGGAAUAUUGCACAAUGGAGGAAACUCUGAUGCAGCAACGCCGCGUGGAGGAUGACACUUUUUAGAGCGUACACUCCUUUUAUAUAGGAAGAAGAUGACGGUACUAUAUGAAUAAGCGCCGGCUAACUCCGUGCCAGCAGCCGCGGUAAUACGGAGGGCGCAAGCGUUACUCGGAAUCACUGGGCGUAAAGAGCGUGUAGGCGGAUUAAAAAGUCAGAAGUGAAAUCCUAUAGCUUAACUAUAGAACUGCUUCUGAAACUCUUAAUCUAGAAUAUGGGAGAGGUAGAUGGAAUUUCUGGUGUAGGGGUAAAAUCCGUAGAGAUCAGAAGGAAUACCGAUUGCGAAGGCGAUCUACUAGAACAUUAUUGACGCUGAGACGCGAAAGCGUGGGGAGCAAACAGGAUUAGAUACCCGGGUAGUC